AAUUUGGGGCCAUUUUGGGGCCAUUUUAGGGCAUUUUGGGGCCAUUUUGAGGCCAUUUUGGGGUCAUUUGGGGCCAUUUUGGGGUCAUUUUGGGGCCACCUUGUGUCUUUAUUUGGGAUUUGUGGGGCCAUUUUGGGGCCAUUUUUGAUCAUUUCGGGGUCAUUUUGGGGUCAUUUGGGGCCAUUUGGGGGCCGUAUUUGGGGCCAUUUUUGAUCAUUUUGGGGCCAUUUUUCAUCAUUUUAGGGCCAUUUUGGGGCCAUUUUGAGGCCAUUUUGGGGCCAUUUUUGAUCAUUUUGGGGGUCAUUUGGGGCCAUUUUGGGGUCAUUUGGGGGCCAUUUUGUGCCUUUAUUUGGGAUUUGUGGGGUCAUUUGGGGGCCAUUUUUGAUCAUUUCGGGGUCAUUUUGGGGCCAUUUUAGGGCAUUUGGGGUCAUUUUGGGGUCAUUUGCGGCCAUUUUGACACCAUUUAAUCCCAUUUAGUGCCAUUUAGGGCCA
This 492-nucleotide long non-coding RNA is filed under the name Phasianus colchicus (ring-necked pheasant). Its description in RNAcentral is "lncRNA (ENSPCLG00000020131.1)". Lineage: Eukaryota; Metazoa; Chordata; Aves; Galliformes; Phasianidae. The record is from RNAcentral.